GAUGAACGCUGGCGGCGUGCUUAACACAUGCAAGUCGAACGGGGAUUAUUUUAUUGAAGCUUCGGCAGAUUUGAUUUAAUCCUAGUGGCGGACGGGUGAGUAACGCGUGGGUAACCUGCCUUAUACAGGGGGAUAACAGUCAGAAAUGGCUGCUAAUACCGCAUAAGCGCACAGGGUCGCAUGGCCCGGUGUGAAAAACUGAGGUGGUAUAAGAUGGACCCGCGUUGGAUUAGCCAGUUGGCAGGGUAACGGCCUACCAAAGCGACGAUCCAUAGCCGGCCUGAGAGGGUGAACGGCCACAUUGGGACUGAGACACGGCCCAGACUCCUACGGGAGGCAGCAGUGGGGAAUAUUGCACAAUGGGGGAAACCCUGAUGCAGCGACGCCGCGUGAAGGAAGAAGUAUCUCGGUAUGUAAACUUCUAUCAGCAGGGAAGAAAAUGACGGUA
RNAcentral lists this ribosomal RNA (448 nucleotides) under uncultured bacterium. RNAcentral's name for it is "bacterial SSU rRNA". It matches the Rfam family "Bacterial small subunit ribosomal RNA", at positions 28 to 477 of the family's 1533-position model. The record is from RNAcentral.